GCUGGGCAUGGUGGUGCAUUCUUGUAAUUCCAGCAGCUCAGGAGGCUGAGACAGGAGGAUUACAAGUUCAAAGCCAGCCUCAGCAACCUAGCAAGGCUCUAAGCAGCUUAUUGAGACCCUGUCUCAA
This 127-nucleotide small RNA is filed under the name Marmota monax (woodchuck). The record is from RNAcentral. Lineage: Eukaryota; Metazoa; Chordata; Mammalia; Rodentia; Sciuridae.